AUUGAACGCUGGCGGCAGGCCUAACACAUGCAAGUCGAGCGGAAACGAUCCUAGCUUGCUAGGAGGCGUCGAGCGGCGGACGGGUGAGUAAUGCAUAGGAAUCUGCCCGAUAGUGGGGGAUAACCUGGGGAAACUCAGGCUAAUACCGCAUACGUCCUACGGGAGAAAGCAGGGGAUCUUCGGACCUUGCGCUAUCGGAUGAGCCUAUGUCGGAUUAGCUUGUUGGUGAGGUAAUGGCUCACCAAGGCGACGAUCCGUAGCUGGUCUGAGAGGAUGAUCAGCCACAUCGGGACUGAGACACGGCCCGAACUCCUACGGGAGGCAGCAGUGGGGAAUAUUGGACAAUGGGCGAAAGCCUGAUCCAGCCAUGCCGCGUGUGUGAAGAAGGCUUUCGGGUUGUAAAGCACUUUCAGUGAGGAAGAAAGCCUUGGGGCUAAUACCCCCAAGGGACGACAUCACUCACAGAAGAAGCACCGGCUAACUCCGUGCCAGCAGCCGCGGUAAUACGGAGGGUGCGAGCGUUAAUCGGAAUUACUGGGCGUAAAGCGCGCGUAGGCGGCUUGAUAAGCCGGUUGUGAAAGCCCCGGGCUCAACCUGGGAACGGCAUCCGGAACUGUCAGGCUAGAGUGCAGGAGAGGAAGGUAGAAUUCCCGGUGUAGCGGUGAAAUGCGUAGAGAUCGGGAGGAAUACCAGUGGCGAAGGCGGCCUUCUGGACUGACACUGACG
RNAcentral lists this ribosomal RNA (726 nucleotides) under Halomonas sp. RNAcentral's name for it is "bacterial SSU rRNA". It matches the Rfam family "Bacterial small subunit ribosomal RNA", at positions 28 to 745 of the family's 1533-position model. Lineage: Bacteria; Pseudomonadati; Pseudomonadota; Gammaproteobacteria; Oceanospirillales; Halomonadaceae. The record is from RNAcentral.